This 440-nucleotide ribosomal RNA is filed under the name uncultured bacterium. RNAcentral describes it as "bacterial SSU rRNA". It matches the Rfam family "Bacterial small subunit ribosomal RNA", at positions 29 to 490 of the family's 1533-position model. The record is from RNAcentral.
AUUGAACGCUGGCGGCAUGCCUUACACAUGCAAGUCGAACGGCAGCACGGGGGCAACCCUGGUGGCGAGUGGCGAACGGGUGAGUAAUACAUCGGAACGUGCCCCGUAGCGGGGGACAACCAGUCGAAAGACUGGCUAAUACCGCAUACGCUCCACGGAGGAAAGCAGGGGAUCGCAAGACCUUGCACUAUGGGAGCGGCCGAUGCCCGAUUAGCUAGUUGGGAGGUAAAGGCUCACCAAGGCAACGAUCGGUAGCUGGUCUGAGAGGACGACCAGCCACACUGGGACUGAGACACGGCCCAGACUCCUACGGGAGGCAGCAGUGGGGAAUAUUGGACAAUGGGCGCAAGCCUGAUCCAGCCAUGCCGCGUGGAUGAAGAAGGCCCUAGGGUUGUAAAGUCCUUUCGGCGGGGAGAUGAUGACGGUACCCGCAGAAGAAG